AAGUCGUAACAAGGUUACCUUCUAGCAGCUCGCUUCGGAGACCUUGCACCCUUUAAGGGAGGCAGCACGACAAUAAAGAAAGCUCGCCGCAUGCAAGUCAACUACGGUUGGCAACACAAUUGAACUGGCGGGGACUUCCUAAAGCUUAUAACACCAACCGCCCGGGGAAACUCGGGCGGGGCCCUCGCGGGGUGGUAACAGAUUAUAAGAUAGUGCAAUGGAUAAUCCGCAGCGAAUACCCUACCGGUGAAAGCCUACGGGUGUCGUCCACAGA
This 274-nucleotide unclassified non-coding RNA is filed under the name Helotiales sp. Its description in RNAcentral is "partial contains internal transcribed spacer 1". The record is from RNAcentral. Lineage: Eukaryota; Fungi; Ascomycota; Leotiomycetes; Helotiales.